Long non-coding RNA from Lagopus leucura (white-tailed ptarmigan), 100 nucleotides. RefSeq lists it as uncharacterized. The transcript is spliced from 3 exons. The record is from RefSeq and is a predicted model, not a curated record. NCBI's taxonomy places the organism in Eukaryota, Metazoa, Chordata, Aves, Galliformes, Phasianidae.
GAUGUCUGCAUAUCUGAGGCAAGAGCGUAAGGCAAACAAUGAGUGGUAUAUUUGUGAUACUUCAAAAUCUUUACGAAGUUGUACAUGAACUCUGGACUGC